ACCCGCUGAACUUAAGCAUUCAAUAAGCGGAGGAGGGAGAACAACAGGGGAUUGCCCUAGUAACGGCGAGUGAAGCGGCAACAGCUCAAAUUUGAAAUCUGCCCUUCGGGUCCGAGUUGUAAUUUGUAGAGGAUGCUUUUGGUGCAGUGCCUUGCGAGUUCCUUGGAACAGGACGCCUUAGAGGGUGAGAGCCCCGUACGGUUGGACACUAAGCCUCUGUAAAGCUCCUUCGACGAGUCGAGUAGUUUGGGAAUGCUGCUCUAAAUGGGAGGUAAAUUUCUUCUAAAGCUAAAUACCGGCCAGAGACCGAUAGCGCACAAGUAGAGUGAUCGAAAGAUGAAAAGUACUUUGAAAAGAGGGUUAAAUAGCACGUGAAAUUGUUGAAAGGGAAGCGUUUAUGACCAGACCUUUGUCUAGCGGAUCAUCCGGUGUUCUUCACCGGUGCACUUCGCUAGGCUCAGGCCAGCAUCGGUUUCUGUAGGGGGAUAAAGACCAUGGGAACGUAGCUCUCUCCGGGGAGUGUUAUAGCCCUAGGUGUAAUACCUCUACGGGGACCGAGGUUCGCGCUUCUGCAAGGAUGCUGGCGUAAUGGUCAUCAACGACCCGUCUUGAAACACGGACC
This 622-nucleotide ribosomal RNA is filed under the name Diatrypella atlantica. RNAcentral's name for it is "eukaryotic LSU rRNA". It matches the Rfam family "Eukaryotic large subunit ribosomal RNA", at positions 23 to 667 of the family's 3401-position model. Lineage: Eukaryota; Fungi; Ascomycota; Sordariomycetes; Xylariales; Diatrypaceae. The record is from RNAcentral.